AUAGUUGUUAAUUAAUUUAUGAAUUUAUAGUUAUUUAGCACUAUUCAUGAUUAAUUAAUUAAUUAAUUAUUUUAAUUAUUAGUUAAUUAAUAUUUUGAUAUUAAUUAUUAGAUAAAUUAUUACUAUUUUAAACUACUAUUAUAUUAAACUAUAACUACUUUUAUUUUUACAAUUUCAUCAAACUACCCAAAUCCUUUUUUUCUUGUCCUUGAAAAUAAUCCAAUUUUAUUCUAACAUAAAAUUGGUUUUGAAAUAACCAAGAACAUUUUAUUUUCAAAC
This 279-nucleotide long non-coding RNA is filed under the name Ananas comosus (pineapple). RNAcentral's name for it is "long non-coding RNA (ACOM_LNC009243)". Lineage: Eukaryota; Viridiplantae; Streptophyta; Magnoliopsida; Poales; Bromeliaceae. The record is from RNAcentral.